RNAcentral lists this long non-coding RNA (2881 nucleotides) under Mus musculus (house mouse). Its description in RNAcentral is "predicted gene, 33454 (Gm33454)". Lineage: Eukaryota; Metazoa; Chordata; Mammalia; Rodentia; Muridae. The record is from RNAcentral.
AGCAGCAGCGCAGCCAGGAGGAGGCGCCCUCGGGCCGGCCAGCCGUCCCGCCGCCCGCCCCCGCCCCCCGGCGCCAUGUUGCUCCGGCCCCGCCGCUGCCCGCGCCCCGCCGCGCGCCUCACUCGGCGCCUCCGCUCCUGCCCUCCUGCCGCUCCGCUGCCGCCGCGCCAACUGCCCCAGCCGAGGACCUGACGUCAGACCGCGCCCCGCCCGCCCCGCCCCGCCGCCCCACGCCCCUUAUUUGCAUGCGAUGUCCCGCCCCUACCCACGGCUCGCGCGCCCGGCUUAAGGAGGUCUGCGCCCUUAAGGUUCCCAAGAUGGAGGAGCUGUGGGCAAAGAAGCAGCCUUUCUGUUCAUGCCCAGAGCCUAAGCCCUGCCCUGAACCCACACUGGAAGUCUGUUGGGGCUUGUGUGGGCCCUGGAGUGGAUAGUCUGGCUGUGGACUGUGGAUGCAUUUAUCAGGGGAUGGUGCAAGCCAUCAUCGGAAGCAGAACGUCUGAAUGACCCGGGACCCCGAGAUUCUAGGAUGUAGAAGAGCAUGGAAUCACUGCAAGGCAGCCAGUGCUGCAGUUUCAUAAUGGAUUGCUUUGCCUAGCAUAUGCCAGGCCCUGGGUUCAAUCUCCAGCAUGGUGAAAAAGAAAGAAAAUUGUCAAGAGAAGUAUUAUGAAGAUGUGUGGUCCUUCCAGUGCUACCUGGCUUUGGCUAAAAUUAAAUAGAAAGAAACUCCACAAACUCUCAUGCUUUUGCAACCCUUUGGCAAGGCAGAGGCAGGGUCUCUCAAACAAGCACACUAUAGCCAGCUUCCUCUGGGGGAUCGAUCCCCUGUUUCUACCUUUUGAGUCUGGAAUUACUACAUUUAUUGGAUGCUCACCAUACAUGAGGCAUCUCCUUAGUCUUUUAAAAAGACUUUUAAGUUGGUCAUGGUGAUGUGUGGGGUAAAAAUGGCGUCCUGCAUCCGCUCGGGGCGAGGGCCAAUAGGCGAGGUGGACGUGGGAAGUUUGACUGCGCCAACCCCAGGCUGCCACAUGAAUGUGAGAAGCCAAGGAAUCCCACACUGAGGGCGAGGAAGGCGCAGUCUGGUGUCCCUGCGGAAGUUGGGCUCCAACUCUCGGGCACCACAGAUACCUCUGGGGGCAACAGAAGAGCCAGUUCUGGGGUCCCUGGGUCUGCUCGGAGGCCAGGGACAACAGGUUCUUGCUCUCGGACAUCCCAGAUGCCGCUGUAUGUCGAGGAAGAACUGAGAACGGGUUGGAUGCUGGCAGUUGUGCCUGCAGCGCAGAGAGGUCUCCUGGUGGGAGGUUACAUGUGUGGCUCAUUAGCGGAAGACCUGCUCCAUUGCUCCAGCACAGCCGGUCCAGAUGAGCAGAGAUGGUCCAUGGUUUUAAGGCGUUUAUUGUAGAAAGGCAGAGAGGGGGAGAGAAUAGGGAGGUAGAGGCUGGCCAUGGCCACGUGGAGGGGUUGGGAGCGGGAAGGGAAGGUGGAGAGAGGGGGAAUAAGGGAGCAAGAGAGUAAGAGGUAAGAGAGUAAGGAGGGGGCAAGCAGCUCCUUUUAUAGUGGGCUGGGGCUACCUGGCUGUUGCCAGGUAACUGUGGGGGUGGAGUCCUGACAGAAUACCAGGACCUUGGGGCAUUGCCUACAUGACUGAUGUCCACACACCUUUCUGCAGGGGGCUGGGGGAGGCUGUAGUUGUGACAGGAGCCAGGGACCCAGGAGGCAUGGCCAAACUCCUAUGGUCCCCAUGAAGGCGGAACUCACCACCCACCAGGUCUCUGGGGUUCCAGGCCUAUGCUUGACCAGGACCAGGCUGGUAUGGCAGUGUACAUGGUUAAUCCUGGCACUCAUCAGACAGAAGCAGGUAGAUCUCUGAGUUGAGGUCAGCCUGGUGUCUAUGUUAUAUACGGGAGUUUCAAGCCAAACAAGAACUAAAUAGUUACACCUGGGAGCUGGCCAUGGUUGCAAGAAUUGUCUGUGAGCAGGGCGUGGUGGCACACGCCUUUAAUCCCAGCACUCGGGAGGCAGAGGCAGGCGGAUUUCUGAGUUCGAGGCCAUCCUGGUCUACAAAGUGAGUUCCAAGACAGCCAGGGCUAUACAGAGAAACCCUGUCUCGAAAACCAAAAAAAAAAGAGUUGCCUGUGAACCAGCCCCAAGGGUGUGAGAGCAGCCAUUGCCAGCUUCAGCUCUGAGUGAGCUAGCAGGGCAGAACUGGAGAGCUCACCCUGGUGGUGUGGGUUCGGGAGAGCCAGCAGGCUGACCAGCUCGGCCACCACCCAGGCCCAGAUCCACGGCUUUGAUUUGGCCCAGCCCAACAUCUAUUUACCCCAGCUAUGAACUGCUGAGGUUUGGGGAGGGUUUGGGACUGCAGAUCCAAAGCUACAGGACCUCCAUGACACAGGGCAACAACAGGACAUCCAAGAGGGGUCCCAGCGAGGAUCAAGUAUUAAUAGUGUAGCAGAAGCCAGAGGUCUCGAAGCAGCCCAAUGAUGCAUUGCAAUGGACACAUGCAAGUAAAGAAGUAUGGACAAAAGGGUGCACUGUGGGACACACUGUGACACACCACAGCUUCCACAAGGAGAUUUUUUUUCUUUUGGGAGGUUUGCAAGGGUGGGGGUGGAUAGGAAGGGAUGGGGAGAUGAGUGGGAUUGGGGUACAUGAUGUGAAAUUCACGAAGAACCAAUAAAAAGUUAAAAUAAAAACAUAGGGGGCAGAAGAGAUGGCCCAGUGGUUAAGAGUGUGUACCGCUGUUACAGAGAACAAGAGUUGGGUUCCCAGGACCCACGAUGGUUGCUAAUAAUUGCCUGUCACUCCAGCUCCAGGGAAUCUCAUGUUCUUUUUUGGGCUUCACAUACAUACAUAAUUAAAUAAAAAGUCUUAAAAAAACUAA